AUGAGUUAACUAGUGCUUUCUUUUGUGCAGUCGGGAGCUAAGUGAAAUGAUGCGAAGGCUAAAGAGGAGAGGGUGAUGCACAAGGUUAAGGAGAAGAGGGCGAUGCAGAAGCCUAAAGAGAAGAGAGCGAUGCAGAAGCUGAAGGAGUAAUUUGCUAGAUAGUUAACAGCCUUUUGAAGAAUUGAUUUAUCAUAUUGAAGAAGUACGUAACUAAUUUUGUCUCAUGGGAUGGGGAAUAUCACGGGGGGUGAUAGUAAUUUGAACAUAUCCACACUCUCACACCUGUGCUGUUUGAGAAACCUUAUUCGAUACUCAGCUGUGACAUUUGAGAAUUCGAUACUCAGCUGUGACACGAGCGCUUGUUGGUUGUGUUUGUGUUGUAAUAUGUACCCUUCAUGGAGAAUUUUGGGAAGUCUAAGUUAACCGGGGAAAUGCAAUAUGCAUAUGGAGAGAAACCUUAUUCGAUACUCAGCUGUGACACUCAGAGUCAGUGGGCUUUUGGUUGUGUUUGUCUUUGUAAUGUAUCCUCCGUGGAGAAUAUUGGGGAGGCUAAGUUAACCAGAGAAAUGUAAUCUGCAUAUAUGAUGUUUCUAUGUUAAUGCUCUGUGAAUGCACUUGUUAUGUUGCCCAACCAUCCCUGGCGCUUCAAGAUUUUCGCGAGGGAACCAAUGAACCAUAGUAGUAGAUGGAGUACUAGCUAGCAUGCGAAGAGCAAAUCAAAGUAGGAUACAAGUAGGGG
Molecule: long non-coding RNA, 739 nt
Filed under: Setaria viridis
Lineage: Eukaryota; Viridiplantae; Streptophyta; Magnoliopsida; Poales; Poaceae
Description: long non-coding RNA (SVIR_LNC008743)
Source: RNAcentral